UCUCCGUUGGUGAACCAGCGGAGGCAUCAUUACCGAGUUUACAACUCCCAAACCCCUGUGAACAUACCAUUUGUUGCCUCGGCGGUGCCUGCUUCGGCAGCCCGCCAGAGGACCCAAACCCUUGAUUUUAUACAGUAUCUUCUGAGUAAAUGAUUAAAUAAAUCAAAACUUUCAACAACGGAUCUCUUGGUUCUG
Molecule: unclassified non-coding RNA, 195 nt
Filed under: plant metagenome
Description: partial contains small subunit ribosomal RNA, internal transcribed spacer 1, and 5.8S ribosomal RNA
Source: RNAcentral